CCUACGGGGGGCAGCAGUGGGGAAUAUUGGUCAAUGGGCGAAAGCCUGAUCCAGCCAUGCCGCGUGUGUGAAGAAGGCCUUCGGGUUGUAAAGCACUUUCAGUGGGGAAGAAAGCCUUGGGGCUAAUACCCUCGAGGAAGGACAUCACCCACAGAAGAAGCACCGGCUAACUCCGUGCCAGCAGCCGCGGUAAUACGGAGGGUGCGAGCGUUAAUCGGAAUUACUGGGCGUAAAGCGCGCGUAGGCGGUCUGAUAAGCCGGUUGUGAAAGCCCCGGGCUCAACCUGGGAACGGCAUCCGGAACUGUCAGGCUAGAGUGCAGGAGAGGAAGGUAGAAUUCCCGGUGUAGCGGUGAAAUGCGUAGAGAUCGGGAGGAAUACCAGUGGCGAAGGCGGCCUUCUGGACUGACACUGACGCUGAGGUGCGAAAGCGUGGGUAGCAAACAGGAUUAGAUACCCCGGUAGUC
This 465-nucleotide ribosomal RNA is filed under the name Vreelandella stevensii. Its description in RNAcentral is "partial 16S ribosomal RNA". It matches the Rfam family "Bacterial small subunit ribosomal RNA", at positions 338 to 795 of the family's 1533-position model. The record is from RNAcentral. Lineage: Bacteria; Pseudomonadati; Pseudomonadota; Gammaproteobacteria; Oceanospirillales; Halomonadaceae.